Molecule: non-coding RNA, 346 nt
Organism: Cinara cedri
Lineage: Eukaryota; Metazoa; Arthropoda; Insecta; Hemiptera; Aphididae
Source: the annotation of a GenBank genome assembly
CCAUUAAAUAAACUAAUAUUAGGUAGAUAUAGUUUAAUGAUAUAUUUGAUUUUUUCGUCUGUUAACAGUGAAAUAGAUUUAAAGAUAAUUCACAGUGAAUUAAUUCGUAUAAUUUUGUUGUGUUGAAAAGUUUGGGAAUGUACUCGCUUUGUAAAUGAUUUAUUUUCUAUCCAAUACACCCUUGACGGGUGACAAUAAUUCACAACACACGUAUCGUAUAGGUUCAGAUCAUGCGGAACAGAUACGUCAUAUAAGUAAAUAUGGGCUAAUUUAUUAAUCAUUACUAUCAAAAUAAAUAUUAUAAUUAGAUUUAGUUGAGUUUUGUCUUCGAGCUGCAACUGAACUG